Molecule: ribosomal RNA, 301 nt
Filed under: uncultured bacterium
Lineage: Bacteria
Description: partial 16S ribosomal RNA
Rfam family: Bacterial small subunit ribosomal RNA
Source: RNAcentral
CAGCCGCCGCGGUAAUACAGAGGGUGCGAGCGUUAAUCGGAUUUACUGGGCGUAAAGCGUGCGUAGGCGGCUUCUUAAGUCGGAUGUGAAAUCCCUGAGCUUAACUUAGGAAUUGCAUUCGAUACUGGGAAGCUAGAGUGUGGGAGAGGAUGGUAGAAUUCCAGGUGUAGCGGUGAAAUGCGUAGAGAUCUGGAGGAAUACCGAUGGCGAAGGCAGCCAUCUGGCCUAACACUGACGCUGAGGUACGAAAGCAUGGGGAGCAAACAGGAUUAGAUACCCCUGUAGUCCAUGUCUCUUAUAC